UAGGCGGGGAAAGGUAGCCAGGAAGUGGGGCCGAUUCCGAGUUACUGCCUGCAUGAGAACUUAUCUUAAAUAUCUUAAAGUUCUGAACUAUCUAGACAGUUGUGCUGAUAAAGUAAAAGCUUGUGUGGAAUGGACGGAACCACAUGGUUGUCGGAUGAAUCACAUCAUCAUCAUCCGUUACUGGACUAUUUUGUCUUAUUUUUAAUAUUCAUACAAUUACCAACAAAAAGUUUGGAACAUCACAGUCUGGAGUUCCGGUUCACACUGCAGGAGGAACUGAACAAUUACAAAAGUUUCCAUCAGACGACUGUGUUUGACGGUGAAACCGUCUUUUAUUGUGAUGAUAGCCUAAGAGACGAACCCAGACAGGACUGGGUCCAUCAAACAUUCAAUACUGAAGAUCUGAAUGAAAGACGGGACUUCUGUAGGGAUCAAUACCAUGAACAAGUAACACGAUAUUUGGAAAUCCUGAAAAUGAUCACUGGAACAACAGGUUUCUUCCUGAGACGCCGCGGCUGCUCUGGCAACAGGUCAGAGGUCACAAGUUUUGACAAAUGGGGUCUAAAUGGUGACGACUUUCUGACCUUCAACACCACGACCCAAAUAUGGGAACCUGAUUCUGAACUGGCUGCUCUAGUAGCUUCAAACUGGAACCAGUACAGUGACUGGAAUCGUGUAGAUGGUGAAUUCAGCCAGAACUGGUGCAGAAAAAUCCUUCAUGUGUUUGUAGAGAAGAAAGCAGCAGGGAGGAAACAUCAAGAAACAAUCCAUAUUUUGUCCAAGCCUGUCCCUGGAUCUCCUUCUAGAUCUUUAAGUUGCUGCGGAUCAGAUGGAGCAGGUUCCUCUAGGAACAGAGUUGUGCUGCCUGUGAUUCUGCUGGUUUUUGUCGCUUUUAUACUAAUUUUCUACAUACGUAAGUCUCUUUUUAUUCCUUGAAGCAUUAGGUGAAGUCUGUAUGAAGUUACUGGAUGUAGUUUGAAGUUUGUUGAGUGUGAAUUAUGUGAAUGUGGUUUACGUGGUUACAGACAUUUACAUAAAAACACCACAAUUACUACACUGUAACCUGGGCAUCUGUAUAUAUGUCAGAAUGUGUAAAAUCAGAGAAACGCUCCACUCUUUCAAUUACAAACCUUCAUACUUGCACUUUCUUUUCAUUUAUGUGUUCUACUUCAUUUUUACUCUGCAAAGUUGUGAAUGUCGUUGCUUGUAUUGACGUUGUCAUACUUUAUAUUUCUGCAUUAUAUUGUACUGUUUGGCGAUGCAGUUCACCCUGCAGCUGGUUUAGAAACAGUGUUGUAAUCUGCAUAUUUAUAGCCUUUAAUGGUGUGAAAAGAAGAUAUCUGAAGGAUCCGGUUAUAAAUAUGCAACAAGGGCAGGACACUUCACCCCGAGUGUCUCCAGGGGGACUGUCCCUGGCACUACUGGAUAAGGGCGUCUGAUAAAUGCUGUAAAUGAUGUAAAAACAUUGUAAAAAAAAAAAAAAGUAAACAUUUUGGUUGCAUGUCUUUCACAAUAAUUUACAUGAACAAUUCCACAGUGCAUUACAAUAAAUCUGCAACUAUGUACAGUGAUUUCACAGCAGCCAAGGACAUAGGAUUGCUGUAGUAUAGCAGUUUGUAGAUCAUUAUUCAAUCUUUGAUCCUCUCACAUAUGUAAAGUUGACAGAGGGCAGGUGAUGUGAAAUAACCGGUGAGCCAUGAAGUAAAACUGAAAUUUGACACCCUGAAAAUGUAGCGUAACCUGUAAACCUCGGCUCUCCAGAGUUGUGUUAGUGGAUUAUUUUAUUGGUAUGAAGUUCCAUAUCUCAAGGGAAGUAAAUAAACAGUAGAUCAACCAACUGAUUUAUAUGUCUUCUCAUGCAUCCAAAUUAUGUGAAUGUAAAAUAAUGAUGUCCAGUAAUAAGAAGUUGAGAAUGAUGACAUAUCCUAAAAAUACAUGUCUAAUGUACUAUUUUACAUACAUUAUUAAGACUCCAGCAGCAGCUACCAGUGAAGUAGUGAACUCUGCACUAUGAGGCGUCCCCUAGACCACAUAUCAAGAAAAGCUCACACAUGUGAGCAAGUCUAGUCUUGUACAACCUCCUCAAUAAGCUUUCACACGUUCUACUUUUACUUUGCACACCCACCACUUUUACUUUGCACAUGCACUACAUUUCCCCCGCACAUAAACACCAUAAUAUCCAUACUAUAUAUAUACACUAUAUGUUAUAAGAAUUGCAUAUUGGGCUGAGUAUGAAAAGGCAUUGUGGGAGAUUGAGUGGCUAUGUGGGCGUGUCUGUGUGUAUGUGGCUAAAGAUGGAAUAAAGUUGCUGGAAUGGCUCUGGUUUGUUCUUAAUUUAUUGCAAACUGUGUCAUGGACGUGUCUUGGUUUAUUUUUGCUUUGUUCAUCCCCGGUUCCUCCCCCAGGCCCCUCUUGAAGUGAAGUGAUUGUCAUUGUGAUACACAGCAGCACAGCACAUGGUGACAAGAUGAAAUGUGUCCUCUGAAUUUAACCAUCACCCUUGGUGAGCAGUGGGCACCAUGACAGGCGCCCGGGGAGCAGUGUGUGGGGACGAUACAUUCAUCAAGGGGACCUCAGUGGCACCUUGGCAGACCAGGAUUAAACCUUCGGAUUACGAGGCCGCUUCUUUGACCACUAGGCCACCACUUCCUGUUGGCUCCUUCCCCAGGCUCCUCUUGUUGGCCCUUCCAAAUGUUUAAUAACCCAGACAAGUCCAAAAUUAAAUAUAAUUAAAUAUAAUAAUAGAAUAGAAUGAAAU
Molecule: long non-coding RNA, 2758 nt
Organism: Denticeps clupeoides (denticle herring)
Lineage: Eukaryota; Metazoa; Chordata; Actinopteri; Clupeiformes; Denticipitidae
Source: Ensembl